GGAAGCAACAAUUUUUAACAUAGUUGGUUGCAGAAAGAAUCUCUAUUCUAAUUAAUCAAAGAGUUCUUGCUGUUAGCAAAGAAGUAAAAAUAUUCAACCCAUAUUUUUACACCUAUAAACUGUUGAUUGGAUAUCCCAUUUAUUUUUAUUAAAUUCACAUGUCACAUUUAUAACUAUCAACAGAUAAUCGAAGAAUUGUCAGUACUAUCACAUCUACUGACACAAGCUAGAAAGAGCGUUAUCUAUAGUUAACAUGCAUGAGCUGUGUACAUUAAAGUUGUCUAUUUUGAGAUACUCCAUCCUUUCGAUAUUCCAAUCUUUCCUCCUCUCCAUUUCAGGCUGAUCAUAUCCCCCACAUUAAAUGGUGCUCCAAUCUGAUCUAAUUAAAUGGUGUUCCAAUCUGAUCUAAGGCCUAAAUUGGGUGUGUGCAAAAUGCUACCAAAAUUAUUUGAGGAUCUCUAUUCUUACAUAUGGCAUCAUAAUUUUUUUUUUUUUGUACCUAGGAUCAAACUCAGGUCCUUGCACUUGCGCAGCAGGCAGCGAAACCACUGAGGUCAAUCCCCAGCCCUGGCAUCAUAAUAUUUUAUUACAAUGGCCUCCAUGAAGAAAGUUUCAUAUUUAUCCAAGAGGCCAAAAUUCAAUGACUGGCUCUCAAGAAGACUAGGAAGGAGUGGAUAAAGUAUUCCUCACCCACUUUGACUUAGGAGGAGCCACGAAGAGAGACCACAGACUCUUAAAGAGAUAAAGCCAGGCGCAGAGAGAAUGAGCAGGCUGUCUUGGGAGCACGCGAACCUCUUCUUGGGGGGAGAGGUUAGAAAGCAGACACAGACUCCUAGGCCAGGAGCUACGGCAUCCUCCGGCUCCAGCGGAG
RNAcentral lists this long non-coding RNA (871 nucleotides) under Heterocephalus glaber (naked mole-rat). RNAcentral describes it as "lncRNA (ENSHGLG00000038961.1)". The record is from RNAcentral. Lineage: Eukaryota; Metazoa; Chordata; Mammalia; Rodentia; Bathyergidae.